This 149-nucleotide non-coding RNA is filed under the name Chattonella subsalsa. The record is from RNAcentral. Lineage: Eukaryota; Raphidophyceae; Chattonellales; Chattonellaceae.
UUGCAUGUUUUCUUUUUUUCUUCUUUUUCUUUUUACCACCACCUUUCCCCAACAUGUACAUGUAUUGUUCAAAGCUAGAAUGGAUAUAUUUCACUGACAAAAAAAGAAAAAAUCACAAAUGAUGCUACUUUCUUCUGUAGUAUUUCUUA